GAUGAACGCUGGCGGCGUGCCUAAUACAUGCAAGUCGAGCGCACGGAGGUGAUGCUUGUACCUCUGGUGUUAGCGGCGGACGGGUGAGUAACACGUGGAUAAUCUACCUAUAAGACUGGGAUAACUUCGGGAAACCGAAGCUAAUACCGCAUAAUAUCUUGAACCGCAUGGUUCAAAAUUGAAAGACGCUCUUGCUUCCACUUAUAGUUAGAUCGCCGUUGCAUUAGCUAGUUGGUAGGGUAACGGCCUACAAAGCCAACGAUGCUAAGCCAACUUGAGAGGGUGAUCGGCCACACUGGAACUGAGACACGGUCCAGAUUCCUACGGGAGCAAGAAGUAGGGAAUCUUCCGCAAUGGGGGAAGGCUGGACGGAGAAACGCCGCGUGAGGGAUGAAGGUCUUCGGAUCGUAAAACUCUGUUAUAAGGGAAGAACAUAUGUGUAAGUAACUGCGCACAACGUGACGGUACCUAAUCAGAAAGCCACGGCUAACUACGUG
This 497-nucleotide ribosomal RNA is filed under the name uncultured bacterium. RNAcentral describes it as "partial 16S ribosomal RNA". It matches the Rfam family "Bacterial small subunit ribosomal RNA", at positions 28 to 507 of the family's 1533-position model. The record is from RNAcentral.